Molecule: transfer RNA, 106 nt
Filed under: Pelodiscus sinensis (Chinese soft-shelled turtle)
Lineage: Eukaryota; Metazoa; Chordata; Testudines; Trionychidae
Rfam family: tRNA
About the family: Transfer RNA (tRNA) molecules are approximately 80 nucleotides in length.
Source: Rfam by way of RNAcentral
CCUUGGAUAGCUCAGCUGGCAGAGCAGAGGAUUAUAAUGUGUGUGUGUGUGUGUGUGUGUUUGGCAAGUGAUCCUUAGGUUGCUGGUUCAACUCUUACUCAAAGGA